This is a long non-coding RNA of Hemicordylus capensis (graceful crag lizard), 498 nucleotides long. RefSeq lists it as uncharacterized. The record is from RefSeq and is a predicted model, not a curated record. NCBI's taxonomy places the organism in Eukaryota, Metazoa, Chordata, Lepidosauria, Squamata, Cordylidae. The transcript has 3 exons.
ACUGCAGGAGGAAACAGACUGCGAGUACUAGAGGAGAUGGGGCGGGAGGAGGAGAGGACUUUCCAGCAGAGCUCGGAGGGCGGGCGCUACAAGUCCGAGGCGGGGCAGGCAGACGGGAUUGGAGGAACCCGGGCAUUCGUGGGGCGUGUCCUGAAAAAGUGGAGAAGAAGUCUGCUGAACCUUGGGUGGGAAACUUGUCAAGAGCUUUUUGGAAGUCCAAGUAUACUAUGUCAACUGGAUCACUUUUAUCGACAUGCCUAUUGACACUCUCAAAGAACUCCAAAAGCUUCCUUUUUAUGAAUCUCCUCAUUUUUGAGAAGUUUUCUCUUCCGCAGUCCAAUGCAUCUGAGUUGGACUUCCUUGACAAUGCCCCGCUCGCAUAUAAGCUGAAUUGGAUCGCACUAUGGUCAUUCUUCCUCAAUGGUUCUACAAUUCGUGUUGACUUGCAUUUUGGCCGGUUUAUAAAUAUGUUAAAUAAAAUAAAAUAAAACUCUGACA